UACGUAGGGUGCAAGCGUUGUCCGGAAUUAUUGGGCGUAAAGAGCUCGUAGGCGGUCUGUCGCGUCGAAUGUGAAAACCCGGGGCUCAACCCCGGGCCUGCAUUCGAUACGGGCAGACUAGAGUUCGGUAGGGGAGUCUGGAAUUCCUGGUGUAGCGGUGAAAUGCGCAGAUAUCAGGAGGAACACCAGUGGCGAAGGCGCCACUCUGGGCCGUAACUGACGCUGAGGAGCGAAAGCGUGGGUAGCAAACAGG
Molecule: ribosomal RNA, 253 nt
Filed under: uncultured bacterium
Lineage: Bacteria
Description: partial 16S ribosomal RNA
Rfam family: Bacterial small subunit ribosomal RNA
Source: RNAcentral